This 450-nucleotide ribosomal RNA is filed under the name uncultured bacterium. Its description in RNAcentral is "bacterial SSU rRNA". It matches the Rfam family "Bacterial small subunit ribosomal RNA", at positions 330 to 795 of the family's 1533-position model. The record is from RNAcentral.
CCCAGACUCCUACGGGAGGCAGCAGUCGGGAAUAUUGCGCAAUGGAGGGAACUCUGACGCAGUGACGCCGCGUGCAGGAAGAAGGUUUUCGGAUUGUAAACUGCUUUAGACAGGGAAGAUAAUGACAGUACCUGUAGAAUAAGCUCCGGCUAACUACGUGCCAGCAGCCGCGGUCAUACGUAGGAUCCGAGCAUUAUCCGGAGUGACUGGGUGUAAAGAGUUGCGUAGGUGGCAUAAUAAGUAGCUAGUGAAAUCUGGUGGCUCAACCAUUCAGACUAUUAGCUAAACUGUUAAGCUCGAGACCGUUAGGGGUAACUGGAAUUUCUAGUGUAGGAGUGAAAUCCGUAGAUAUUAGAAAGAACACCAAUAGCGUAGGCAGGUUACUGGGACGGUUCUGACACUAAGGCACGAAAGCGUAGGGAGCAAACGGGAUUAGAUACCCUGGUACCC